CAGCAGCCGCGGUAAUACGUAGGUGGCAAGCGUUGUCCGGAAUUAUUGGGCGUAAAGGGCUCGCAGGCGGUUUCUUAAGUCUGAUGUGAAAGCCCCCGGCUCAACCGGGGAGGGUCAUUGGAAACUGGGAAACUUGAGUGCAGAAGAGGAGAGUGGAAUUCCACGUGUAGCGGUGAGAUGCGUAGAGAUGUGGAGGAACACCAGUAGCGAAGGCGACUCUCUGGUCUGUAACUGACGCUGAGGAGCGAAAGCGUGGGGAGCGAACAGGAUUAGAUACCCCAGUAGUCCCUGUCUCUUAUAC
RNAcentral lists this ribosomal RNA (301 nucleotides) under uncultured bacterium. RNAcentral's name for it is "partial 16S ribosomal RNA". It matches the Rfam family "Bacterial small subunit ribosomal RNA", at positions 509 to 807 of the family's 1533-position model. The record is from RNAcentral.